UACGUAGGGUGCAAGCGUUAAUCGGAAUUACUGGGCGUAAAGCGUGCGCAGGCGGUUAUGUAAGACAGUUGUGAAAUCCCCGGGCUUAACCUGGGAACUGCAUUUGUGACUGGCGAGCUAGAGUAUGGCAGAGGGGGGUAGAAUUCCACGUGUAGCAGUGAAAUGCGUAGAGAUGUGGAGGAAUACCGAUGGCGAAGGCAGCCCCCUGGGCCAAUACUGACGCUCAUGCACGAAGGCGUGGGGAGCAAACAGG
RNAcentral lists this ribosomal RNA (253 nucleotides) under uncultured bacterium. Its description in RNAcentral is "partial 16S ribosomal RNA". It matches the Rfam family "Bacterial small subunit ribosomal RNA", at positions 524 to 776 of the family's 1533-position model. The record is from RNAcentral.